GUUGAAAACUGCAUAAAAAGUUUCAGUUUUUCCAAAAAAUGUCAAAACUUUAAUGUUCAUGUGCUUCAUAUUAGUGAUAGUCUGUCUUCUAACACUCAAUUAGAGGUUCCAAAAGCCUUGUAAGGUAUUCAACUCAGAACCCAUGGCUAGGCUACGUCAAAAGUAUUUGAG
This is a long non-coding RNA of Daphnia pulex (common water flea), 171 nucleotides long. RefSeq lists it as uncharacterized. NCBI's taxonomy places the organism in Eukaryota, Metazoa, Arthropoda, Branchiopoda, Diplostraca, Daphniidae. The transcript is spliced from 2 exons. The record is from RefSeq and is a predicted model, not a curated record.